RNAcentral lists this ribosomal RNA (495 nucleotides) under uncultured bacterium. RNAcentral's name for it is "partial 16S ribosomal RNA". It matches the Rfam family "Bacterial small subunit ribosomal RNA", at positions 28 to 507 of the family's 1533-position model. The record is from RNAcentral.
GAGGAACGAGGGGGGCGUGCCUAAUACAUGCAAGUAGAACGCUGAAGGAGGAGCUUGCUCUUCUGGAUGAGUUGCGAACGGGUGAGUAACGCGUAGGUAACCUGCCUGGUAGCGGGGGAUAACUAUUGGAAACGAUAGCUAAUACCGCAUGACAACAGUUAUUGCAUGAUAACUGUUUAAAAGGGGCAACUGCUCCACUACCAGAUGGACCUGCGUUGUAUUAGCUAGUUGGUGAGGUAACGGCUCACCAAGGCGACGAUACAUAGCCGACCUGAGAGGGUGAUCGGCCACACUGGGACUGAGACACGGCCCAGACUCCUACGGGAGGCAGCAGUAGGGAAUCUUCGGCAAUGGACGGAAGUCUGACCGAGCAACGCCGCGUGAGUGAAGAAGGUUUUCGGAUCGUAAAGCUCUGUUGUAAGAGAAGAACGAGUGUGAGAGUGGAAAGUUCACACUGUGACGGUAUCUUACCAGAAAGGGACGGCUAACUACGUG